GACGAACGCUGGCGGCGUGCUUAACACAUGCAAGUCGAACGGAAAGGCCCUGCUUUUGUGGGGUGCUCGAGUGGCGAACGGGUGAGUAACACGUGAGUAACCUGCCCUUGACUUUGGGAUAACUUCAGGAAACUGGGGCUAAUACCGGAUAGGAGCUCCUGCUGCAUGGUGGGGGUUGGAAAGUUUCGGCGGUUGGGGAUGGGCUCGCGGCUUAUCAGCUUGUUGGUGGGGUAGUGGCUUACCAAGGCUUUGACGGGUGGCCGGCCUGAGAGGGUGACCGGCCACAUUGGGACUGAGAUACGGCCCAGACUCCUACGGGAGGCAGCAGUGGGGAAUAUUGCACAAUGGGCGGAAGCCUGAUGCAGCAACGCCGCGUGCGGGAUGACGGCCUUCGGGUUGUAAACCGCUUUCGCCUGUGACGAAGCGUGAGUGACGGUAAUGGGUAAAGAAGCACCGGCUAACUACGUG
RNAcentral lists this ribosomal RNA (468 nucleotides) under uncultured bacterium. RNAcentral describes it as "partial 16S ribosomal RNA". It matches the Rfam family "Bacterial small subunit ribosomal RNA", at positions 28 to 507 of the family's 1533-position model. The record is from RNAcentral.